AUAUAUAUAUAUAUAGGUCUAAGCUGGCCUAGUCCCAUGUGACUAGCCACAUAGCAAUCAAAAUAAUAUUAUGUAAUGUUGAAUUGAUAUAAGUGAGGAGAAUCUGGCACCAGGAAUUUCAAAACAUGCAAAGAAUAAUUACUACUAUUAUUUUGUUUCAUAGCGUUUGAAAUCUUGUGAGCAGUCUUCUCCUAAUCAUUCUUGUGAAGCAAAAACAAAAAUUCCUUGCUUUAAUUUGCUGGCUUUUUGCCUUUUCAUUUCAGCUCUAAUAGUAUAAAUAAAAUUUAUUAAUAAUUUGCUCUGGACUAGACAAGACGAUAUUAAAAGGACAAAAAAAAAAAGAAAUAAUAUUCAGAUUAGAAAAAGUUGAAUGCAUGCAUGCAAUAUAUAUAUAUAUACUUCAUGCAUUAUUACUUGAAUCACUUAAAACGAUUUAAAAUUAGUAAAAGGCUUCGCUCGUUUUUAUCAUGUCAUUUGAUCUUCUUCUUCUCUUUCUCUCUGGGCCAAUAGAUUCAUGUAGAAACCAACACGCUGUGCUGAUAAAUUAAAGCUCCGCAUAGCCACAGCCCACAGGGACCAUCCAAAGCAAGCAUCGUUUUCUCAUUUGGAUUUUAAUGGAAAGGAAUGUGCUGGGUGUCUGUCAAACGGAGUUGUAAUAGUCAGCAUUCAUAUGAACAAGGUCACGCACAUGGAUAUUCAAGUUUAUUGGGUCCGUGACACUCUCCCCUUUUCUUUUCAAUAGGCUUGUCAAUUUCCCAUUGAUAUUUUAAUUAGAUAUACGAACGAAUCCGCCAAUUUGCCAGCUUCAAAGAUUUCAUCUCUCACUGGUAAAUCAAUCAUUUGAUAUUUUAUGGAAUUUUAACAAAAUUAACCAGUGCUUAUGUAACUUACAUCCCUCAAUAAAACACAUGCAGACCACCUCAUAACCUAUUAGGUAUGAAUUGUGCCUAAAAAGAGUGUUAAGUACACCGACAGUAACUUAGUAAUUGCCAUUAAUCAGUAGUUGAUCACCCAAUGUGUGCAUAGCAGAAGCCGCAAAGCUGAAAAGAUGUGCUUAUUUACGGUGAAAAGUGAGGUGUAUAUUAUAUUGUAUUAUGAGGAUAAGGUUAUGCCUUUAUGAGUUAUGACUUUUAACACAAAGCAAUUCUUUGUGUCAGCUCUUUGCAUGUGACUUUCUUUCUUUGGAAAAUUGGAAAUCCAGCAUCGUCUGCAAAUCAAAUAUGUUUGAGAAUUAAAGCAUGAAGCUUUAGAGGAAUACUAUUGUUAGCUUCAUUUGUUGCAUUAAGGUUUAUCCGACUCAAUUUAUUUAACUCAUAUAUCUUGUCUUUAAUCUUUAUUACUUUCCUCCUUAUUAAUUGAAGUUAAAAUUAAAAUCAUUAAGCAUUCUCGUGCAUGAGUCCAUUUAGAUUCAUUCUUGCGGUAACAAUCAAUCCUGAUUCUGAUUUUACUAAUAAUUUAGGCUCCGUUGGUUGGUACAGCUUUUCAAGUAAAAUUUAUUUAAGUAGAGUUUUUUGUUAGA
This 1519-nucleotide long non-coding RNA is filed under the name Citrus x clementina. RNAcentral describes it as "Citrus clementina (C. clementina) long non-coding RNA (CCLE_LNC000721)". Lineage: Eukaryota; Viridiplantae; Streptophyta; Magnoliopsida; Sapindales; Rutaceae. The record is from RNAcentral.